UUGGAGAGUUUGAUCCUGGCUCAGGAUGAACGCUGGCGGCGUGCCUAAUACAUGCAAGUCGAGCGAACAGACAAGGAGCUUGCUCCUUUGACGUUAGCGGCGGACGGGUGAGUAACACGUGGGUAACCUACCUAUAAGACUGGGAUAACUUCGGGAAACCGGAGCUAAUACCGGAUAAUAUUUCGAACCGCAUGGUUCGAUAGUGAAAGAUGGUUUUGCUAUCACUUAUAGAUGGACCCGCGCCGUAUUAGCUAGUUGGUAAGGUAACGGCUUACCAAGGCGACGAUACGUAGCCGACCUGAGAGGGUGAUCGGCCACACUGGAACUGAGACACGGUCCAGACUCCUACGGGAGGCAGCAGUAGGGAAUCUUCCGCAAUGGGCGAAAGCCUGACGGAGCAACGCCGCGUGAGUGAUGAAGGUCUUCGGAUCGUAAAACUCUGUUAUUAGGGAAGAACAUACGUGUAAGUAACUAUGCACGUCUUGACGGUACCUAAUCAGAAAGCCACGGCUAACUAA
Molecule: ribosomal RNA, 518 nt
Filed under: Staphylococcus sp.
Lineage: Bacteria; Bacillati; Bacillota; Bacilli; Caryophanales; Staphylococcaceae
Description: bacterial SSU rRNA
Rfam family: Bacterial small subunit ribosomal RNA
Source: RNAcentral